UGGGGAAUAUUGCACAAUGGGGGAAACCCUGAUGCAGCGACGCCGCGUGAAGGAAGAAGUAUUUCGGUAUGUAAACUUCUAUCAGCAGGGAAGAAGAUGACGGUACCUGAGUAAGAAGCACCGGCUAAAUACGUGCCAGCAGCCGCGGUAAUACGUAUGGUGCAAGCGUUAUCCGGAUUUACUGGGUGUAAAGGGAGCGUAGACGGAUAGGCAAGUCUGGAGUGAAAACCCAGGGCUCAACCCUGGGACUGCUUUGGAAACUGCAGGUCUGGAGUGCCGGAGAGGUAAGCGGAAUUCCUAGUGUAGCGGUGAAAUGCGUAGAUAUUAGGAGGAACACCAGUGGCGAAGGCGGCUUACUGGACGGUGACUGACGUUGAGGCUCGAAAGCGUGGGGAGCAAACA
Molecule: ribosomal RNA, 402 nt
Filed under: uncultured bacterium
Lineage: Bacteria
Description: bacterial SSU rRNA
Rfam family: Bacterial small subunit ribosomal RNA
Source: RNAcentral